AGGACUGAUAUGAAAAACAAGUGACUAUCUAGGUUUCUUGCCAUGGACUACAACCUCGCAGUGUUGAAGCUCUUCUCCGGCGAACUGAAAGAUGCUCGGCCCUCUACCUCCCCGUCCUCAACCAGCGAGCCUGGAUGCAGGCUGGGGUUUUGGUGUCGCGAUCCGAUGAGGGUGCUUCCUCAUCGACGACGGUUCCGGCGUCGUCGGGCUCCUCCUAUCAGCCGAAUCCCAUCCUCAGCGGUGGAACAUUGGUAGAAAGAAACUCCCCUUUUAAUCUUUGAUCUCUUCUCAUCUGCGGUUGCAGGGAUAGGAGUAGACACUCCCCUUUUAACAUUGGUCGAGCUUCAGCACUUUACCAUAUUAUGAAUCAUUUCUUCUUAGUUCCAGGGAUAUAUUUGUCCUGAUUUCUAGUUGUGGAAUAGUGCUGAUUUUCGUUUCCAUAUAUCCGUCCUGAUUUUUAGUUUUGGAAUUUUGCUGAAGUUUCAUUCCAGUUCAUCUUCGAAUACUGUAAGGUGAUGAGAGGUUCCCAGUUGCUGAAAUGUCCAGUUGUGCUGGUUUAUGAUGUCGAAGUCAGGUUGAAGCUGAUACUUGUAAAUUGCAGUUGUAAUAAUGCUGUUGCUAUAACUUAGAAGAUACUGAAAGUGGUGGUUGUUGAUUGAUGUUGUGUGCUGAAAUUGAAAUUUCUUUCCCAGAUUCUUUGUUCAAGAUCUUAACCUUGCGAAUCCUUUUUUUACGCUGGUUUAGAAGUUUAAAGUUGAGUGAAAGAAUACACUUUUGCUUGUUUUCUUUUCAGGUUAUACAUGCAAAUAGAUUGUAUUAAUUGAAAUAAAUUUUGUUACAAUGGAGGUAGAUAGGAGAGGGUCAGAGUUUUUUAUUUUUGUUUUUGAGGAAAUUGUAGGAAUUUUGUGUUUGAAAGUUGAUGUACAUUUUUUUUCUGUUUCGUAUUGUUUACUUGCCCUGUUUAAAAAAAAACAAUCUAAAUUGACCUUUCUUUUGAUCUGUUAGUGGUGAAAUUGUUGAAUUGUCAAAUCCAACAUGGGUUUGUUAUUAAGUAAAAGCUCUGUGAAGAUGUCUCUAGAUUUAUCAAAGAUCAAUGUUCAGACAAAUGUAUCUUGAAUUUCUUCUGUGUCAUGUCUUGCUUCAUCACAAGUGUGUAGCAAAGGAUCUGGUAGGUGAAAGACAAAUCUUUUGAGCUUCAAGAUGAUGUUUCUCUUGUUGUUUUAAGUUAGAUUGUUUGUUCUUUCAUACUCUUUUGAUGCUGUCAUUAUUUGUUUACUUUAAUGAUUAGAAGCAUUCUUGAGAAUCCUCUUUUCGCUUCAUGAAAAAAGGAACAAUAUAAUCUGGAAAAGAACUGCGAAAUUUGAUACUAGAAACCAUAGCUCAUCAAAUCCAUAUUAUUCCAGGCUCACAAGAUUGCUGACCUCUCUGAACACCCAAACGAGAAGCACUGUGGAACUUAGAGGUCAUUUAGGCACAUAAAUUGUUCUAUCUUACAUCACCAGCCUUCGUGACUCUGCAUCAUUGUGCAAUACUAAGGAGUGAUAUUUUUUGUUUAAUUUCUGGCUCACUUUACCCAAAAACUUUGAGAGGGAAGAAAGGAAACUAAAUGCUUUCAUUGUCUUAAUCUCUGCUUAUUAAGGAAUGUUUUUUGAUGUACUGAUAUUUGGGAACCAAGUAUUUGAUCAAGAGUUCAAGACAAUAGUCUUUGCUAUCUUUUUUUUUCCAUGUAAAAUUUGACAGAAACAUUUCUGUAAAAUAGACUAUUUAUAUCUUAGAUCAGCAGCAGUUCCUUAUUCACUGCAAUGAUGUUACUGUGUUUGAGCAUUGUAGUGUUUUUUGGUGAAAAACACCAUGGACCAUGUGAAGCAUUCAUCAAACUGUAGUCAAAAGGCUUUGCUGUUAUUUUAUUGUUAAUAAAUGGUGCUCUUGGUACAGUUUGAUGUAGAAUCUAAUUGCAGUUUUAGCUUUGUGUCAUUUUUUAGCCUGGAUUUUGAUGCAUCUGUGCAUUAUUAUUCCUAUAUAAUCCACCCUUAGAUGUGUAUGUGACUGAGUGAUGAUCUUGUUUACCAGAGUUUCCUUCAUUUGCUUUUUAGUAUCUUGAUAAUGAAUAGGCAUUUCCCAUGUAGCUUAAUUACUAUAAUGAUGUUCUAAUAUACUACAACAAUUGGCCAUGAGUGCCAUUUCCCUGGGUAACUUAAAUUAACUUAAUCAUGUGUCUAAUAAAUUAUAACAAGGAGCAUGAGUUUUAACCAUUUUGAAUUGGCUAUUUAGACAUUUUGCAUCGUCAUAACAAUUGAUUAAGAUCGAUGGUCAAGAUUGUUGGUAUUAUUUUAUGCUGACCGCUAAGGUCCAAUGUAGCUCUCAGUCAUUUCAUCCAAGUCUGAGAUUGACAUUUGUCUUUGAUAUGGUUUGUAAAAAUGCAAUUUACUUAGGCCCUGCUUAAACUAAACAUUUGUGUUCCCAUGAAGAGUUGAAUUACUUUAGCUUUAUGGAAUAUCAUUGUGAAUGAACACUUUUAAGUACUAUCUAUGUGACCUUACUAAGCUUUUUCAGAUGUUAAUCUUCAGGACUGGUUGGCCAUUGAUCAUGUAAAGCUUUUGUAUGAACCCACUCUGGUCCAGGUCAGGUCUCUUGUUGAACUCAAAAAGAAUGUCUUCUUCUAGAGCUAAGAUUACCUCCGAAGUAAUUAGUUGAGAUAUCAUCACAUUUCACUGUGCAAAAUUCAGUUUGUUUUAUGUCUUUGCAUCUGCUAGUGGUUCAAAAAGUUUAGUCUGUUAUAUAAUUCUGCAGAGCAUAUUGUUGUAUCUGAGGAACAUGCUGCAGAGCAUAUUGUUGUAUCUAAUUCUUUCUUAAGAUCUUGGACCGAUAAAUUCUCCUUCAA
Zingiber officinale is the source of this 2881-nucleotide long non-coding RNA. RefSeq lists it as uncharacterized. The record is from RefSeq and is a predicted model, not a curated record. Lineage: Eukaryota; Viridiplantae; Streptophyta; Magnoliopsida; Zingiberales; Zingiberaceae. The transcript is spliced from 2 exons.